RNAcentral lists this long non-coding RNA (1185 nucleotides) under Trifolium pratense (red clover). RNAcentral describes it as "long non-coding RNA (TPRA_LNC001999)". Lineage: Eukaryota; Viridiplantae; Streptophyta; Magnoliopsida; Fabales; Fabaceae. The record is from RNAcentral.
CUCAUACUUGCUUUCAUGGUAGACUCAUGAGUUUGGUGCGACUUUACAAGUUCAAGGAAUUUUGGAAGAAAAAAAACCCAAGACAUAUUGGGCCUAAUCGUUUCAUUUAGAAAACCCUAAAAGGAAAUUAGAAGAUCUUUCUCGUAGAAAUUUUUUCUCUCUGUAUCGCGUUUGCACCACAUGUUUCUUGUUGUCUCGUAUUCACUCAUCUGGUUUGUGUUCCUUUUUGUUUCGUACUCUUUCUUUGUGUUGUGUUUUGUGCUCCAUUCUUCGUUGAUUAUUUUAUGUGUUGUUCUUUCAUGCGUGUUCUAUUUUUAUUUCAUUGAGUUUCUCUUUUCAUUUUGUUGCAUAAUGUUUUUUAUUUUUUGCCGUAUAUAUGUAGUAGGAAGGAAUUAUGACUUUAUCUUAUCUACAUACUUUGUGAAUUUUAUUAUGGAGUUUUUUUUUUGUAACAACUUUAUUAUGGAGUUCGAAAUUAUAAUUUUUAUGUUAAUUGGUUUUUAUUAUGUAUUUGUAUUAUUUAUAAGGUUUUUUUAAUUCAUUUUUUAUUUUCCAUUGGCUCUAAUGUGAGUCUACGAGUCAAGUCUGUAGGUCGAGUCUACGAAUCCUUAGCCAGUCUAUAUACAUUCUCGCGAGUCCGACAACUAAUUCCACCAAUUCUUCUAUUGAUGUAGAAAGCUUACUAGGAAAUGGAGUUAAAGAUGAACAACUUGAUUCUGAUACAAAUUGUCAUUGGGAUUAAAUUCUUGAUGACAUGAAUGAGGAGGACUCUGAUUUGAAUAUUGGUGGAAAGUGGUGGUGUUAGGCUUAUAUAUUUUUUAGGCCAAACUAUAUAUGAGGAUUGAGAAAGUCAUAAGUCAUUAUUGCUUGGGCCAACAAGAAGUUCACCUAAGUUCAAUUCUACUGAUUGUUGGCCAGAUAUUUUGGUAAUUUAAUUUCUUUUCAUUUGACUCUCAUAAAAUUUAAGGUAGAUCCACCACCUGAUUAUAGAGGUCAAUGCUCUAAUGGGGAAGUAAUUAGUACUAAUGAAAAUGGUACCACUUUUUGAAGUUUUUGGUGUAAUUAAAAUUUGGGAGAUUUGGUGCGGCUCUAUUUAACUUAACCAACGUCCUGAGUUCAAUCUUAGAAUUGGGUAUACAGCAGUGUUAAAACUUUUAGGGAGACAUUGUUAUUAUAAUCUCCGAC